This 332-nucleotide unclassified non-coding RNA is filed under the name soil metagenome. RNAcentral's name for it is "partial contains 5.8S ribosomal RNA, internal transcribed spacer 2, and large subunit ribosomal RNA". The stretch from base 3 to 121 matches the Rfam family "5.8S ribosomal RNA", at positions 36 to 154 of the family's 154-position model. The record is from RNAcentral.
GAAUGAAGAACGUAGCGAAAUGCGAUAAGUAAUGUGAAUUGCAGAAUUCAGUGAAUCAUCGAAUCUUUGAACGCACAUUGCGCCCCCUGGUAUUCCGGGGGGCAUGCCUGUUCGAGCGUCAUUUCACCACUCAAGCCUCGCUUGGUAUUGGGCAACGCGGUCCGCCGCGUGCCUCAAAUCGACCGGCUGGGUCUUCUGUCCCCUAAGCGUUGUGGAAACUAUUCGCUAAAGGGUGUUCGGGAGGCUACGCCGUAAAACAACCCCAUUUCUAAGGUUGACCUCGGAUCAGGUAGGGAUACCCGCUGAACUUAAGCAUAUCAAUAAGCGGAGGA